UUCUACAUUGUUUAUGAAACUUACGACACUGUUUAUGAAACUUACUUCACUGUUUAUGAAAACUUACGACAUUGUUUAUGAAAUUUAAUACACUGUUUAUGAAACUUAACAAUAUUACACUACUGUGUUGUGUUUGUAACCCGGCCCACUCUCUUUUCUUCCCCUUUUCUUUCUUCUUUUCCUUUUCCCCAAUGAACACUCCAGAACUCUCUCUCUUUUCGAACUCUCUGCCUUCUCUCUAAACCACCAUAGCCAAAAAGAACUCCAAGCACCAUCACCACAAAUUCCAAUUUAAUUGAGACCUCAAACAACCAAAUACAAGACCUGCGCAAGCUGGGGAUCCCUAUGGUACCAAUGCAUAUUAAAUUCUGUAAUGGGAAGUAGGAUAAUCCAAGCAAGGUUUCUCGGUGAGAGUUUCUCUAAUGGAAUCGAGCUACAACCUUUGAAAAGAGGAGGACCCAAGAAAUAGGCCACCGACAGAGGCAGGCAGGCAUGGAGCAGCGACCGAAGGAAGAUAAAGUGAUACCAGGAUUGAUGACUUGAGCGUUACAGGAUUUGUAGCAGACACAGCAAGACAAGGCGCGGCAAAAACGACUGAUGUCGCGGAGGACCUGGUUAACUUGGCAAGGGAGACAAAUAAUGUUGCAUGGGGUUCUGCCAAGAACACUACCCGGAAGGUCACUGACACUUUGGUUGCUGAGGCUAAUGAGAACGUCGUUGAUACAGCUGAGUAUAGAACUAUUGAAGAUCUGAGUACGUUCGCAGAUCAGAAUGACCACCAUCAGAAGGAUCACAUUUGAUCAGGCAUGAGAAUGUAACAUGAGACUUGAUAAAUAGGGCUUUUAAUUA
Long non-coding RNA from Pyrus x bretschneideri (Chinese white pear), 849 nucleotides. RefSeq lists it as uncharacterized. The record is from RefSeq and is a predicted model, not a curated record. Lineage: Eukaryota; Viridiplantae; Streptophyta; Magnoliopsida; Rosales; Rosaceae. The transcript has 2 exons.